CCUACGGGAGGCUGCAGUAGGGAAUUUUGCGCAAUGGGGGAAACCCUGACGCAGCAACGCCGCGUGAUCGAUGAAGCCCUUCGGGGUGUAAAGAUCUGUCAGUGGGGACGAAACCUGACGGUACCCACAGAGGACGCACCGGCUAACUCCGUGCACGCCGCCGCGGUAAUACGGGGGGUGCAAGCGUUGUCCGGAAUCAUUGGGCGUAACGGGUUCGUAGGGGGCACGGUAAGGUUGGUGGUAAAGGCGGAAGCUCAACUUCCGUAGGGCACUGGAUACUGGCGAGCUUGAAUGCGGUAGGGGUAAAGGGAAUUCCUGGUGUAGCGGGGAAAUGCGUAGAUAUCAGGAGGAACAUCGGUGGCGGAAGCGCUUUACUGGGCCGUAAUUGACACUGAGGAACGAAAGCCGGGGUAGCAAAUGGGAUUAGAUACCCUGGUAGUC
This 441-nucleotide ribosomal RNA is filed under the name uncultured bacterium. RNAcentral's name for it is "partial 16S ribosomal RNA". It matches the Rfam family "Bacterial small subunit ribosomal RNA", at positions 338 to 795 of the family's 1533-position model. The record is from RNAcentral.